RNAcentral lists this ribosomal RNA (253 nucleotides) under uncultured bacterium. RNAcentral's name for it is "partial 16S ribosomal RNA". It matches the Rfam family "Bacterial small subunit ribosomal RNA", at positions 524 to 776 of the family's 1533-position model. The record is from RNAcentral.
UACGUAGGUGGCAAGCGUUGUCCGGAUUUAUUGGGUUUAAAGGGUGCGUAGGCGGUUCUAUAAGUCAGUGGUGAAAUCCGGCAGCUCAACUGUCGAUGUGCCAUUGAUACUGCAGAACUUGAGUACAGACGAGGUAGGCGGAAUUGACGGUGUAGCGGUGAAAUGCUUAGAUAUCGUCAAGAACACCGAUAGCGAAGGCGGCAUCCUGGACCGGUAUUGACGCUGAGGCGCGAAAGCCAGGGGAGCAAACGGG